RNAcentral lists this ribosomal RNA (136 nucleotides) under Begonia x taipeiensis. RNAcentral's name for it is "5.8S ribosomal RNA". It matches the Rfam family "5.8S ribosomal RNA". Rfam says of the family: 5.8S ribosomal RNA (5.8S rRNA) is a component of the large subunit of the eukaryotic ribosome. It is transcribed by RNA polymerase I as part of the 45S precursor that also contains 18S and 28S rRNA. Lineage: Eukaryota; Viridiplantae; Streptophyta; Magnoliopsida; Cucurbitales; Begoniaceae. The record is from RNAcentral.
CUCGACAAUGGAUAUCUCGGCUCUCGCAUCGAUGAAGAACGUAGUGAAAUGCGAUACUUGGGGUGAAUUGCAGAAUCCUGUGAACCAUCGAGUUUUUGAACGCAAGUUGCUCCCGAAAGCCUUCUGGCCGAGAGCA